Molecule: ribosomal RNA, 208 nt
Filed under: uncultured Staphylococcus sp.
Lineage: Bacteria; Bacillati; Bacillota; Bacilli; Caryophanales; Staphylococcaceae
Description: partial 16S ribosomal RNA
Rfam family: Bacterial small subunit ribosomal RNA
Source: RNAcentral
AAACCGGAGCUAAUACCGGAUAAUAUUUCGAACCGCAUGGUUCGAUAGUGAAAGAUGGUUUUGCUAUCACUUAUAGAUGGACCCGCGCCGUAUUAGCUAGUUGGUAAGGUAACGGCUUACCAAGGCGACGAUACGUAGCCGACCUGAGAGGGUGAUCGGCCACACUGGAACUGAGACACGGUCCAGACUCCUACGGGAGGCAGCAGUC